Molecule: unclassified non-coding RNA, 314 nt
Filed under: Zea mays
Lineage: Eukaryota; Viridiplantae; Streptophyta; Magnoliopsida; Poales; Poaceae
Description: misc RNA Zm00001eb208410
Source: RNAcentral
GAAACAUGUGCUUGCCGUUGCUGUUUGAAAACUGGCGAGUGGCGAGCAGCAUGUGCCUCAGUGCCCUUUCAUUUCACUGUUUGAAACUGGCGAGUGGCAAGCUGCCUAUGCAUGUGCAUCACAGAAGCAGGCAACAGCAGUGCCUGCAUCACAGAAGCAACAGCCGUGCAGAUGAAGAGCAGCAGCCGGACUUACUUUUAAGUGCUAUAGUUUCAUUUUUGUUUGUUUUACUGCUGCAUGCCUUUACCGUGAGAGUGUGCAACAUGGCCAUAUGGGGAUGUGGUUUACAAUUUACUGCUGCUACAGUGUUAUGU